RNAcentral lists this ribosomal RNA (465 nucleotides) under uncultured bacterium. RNAcentral describes it as "partial 16S ribosomal RNA". It matches the Rfam family "Bacterial small subunit ribosomal RNA", at positions 338 to 795 of the family's 1533-position model. The record is from RNAcentral.
CCUACGGGUGGCAGCAGUAGGGAAUUUUCGUCAAUGGGCGCAAGCCUGAACGAGCGAUGCCGCGUGAGUGAAGAAGGCCUUCGGGUCGUAAAGCUCUGUUGCGGGGGAAAAAAGGCAGCAUCAGGAAAUGGGUGCUGACUGAUGGUGCCCCGCCAGAAAGUCACGGCUAACUACGUGCCAGCAGCCGCGGUAAUACGUAGGUGGCGAGCGUUAUCCGGAAUGAUUGGGCGUAAAGGGUGCGCAGGCGGUCCUGCAAGUCUGGAGUGAAACGCAUGAGCUCAACUCAUGCAUGGCUUUGGAAACUGGAGGACUGGAGAGCAGGAGAGGGCGGUGGAACUCCAUGUGUAGCGGUAAAAUGCGUAGAUAUAUGGAAGAACACCAGUGGCGAAGGCGGCUCUCUGGUCUGCAACUGACGCUGAGGCUCGAAAGCAUGGGUAGCGAACAGGAUUAGAUACCCGAGUAGUC